UAUUGCACAAUGGGGGAAACCCUGAUGCAGCGACGCCGCGUGAGCGAUGAAGUAUUUCGGUAUGUAAAGCUCUAUCAGCAGGGAAGAAAAUGACGGUACCUGACUAAGAAGCCCCGGCUAACUACGUGCUAGCAGCCGCGGUAAUACGUAGGGGGCAAGCGUUAUCCGGAUUUACUGGGUGUAAAGGGAGCGUAGACGGCUGCGCAAGUCUGAAGUGAAAGCCCGGGGCUCAACCCCGGGACUGCUUUGGAAACUGUGCUGCUAGAGUGCUGGAGAGGCAAGCGGAAUUCCUAGUGUAGCGGUGAAAUGCGUAGAUAUUAGGAAGAACACCAGUGGCGAAGGCGGCUUGCUGGACAGUAACUGACGUUGAGGCUCGAAAGCGUGGGGAGCA
RNAcentral lists this ribosomal RNA (391 nucleotides) under uncultured bacterium. RNAcentral's name for it is "bacterial SSU rRNA". It matches the Rfam family "Bacterial small subunit ribosomal RNA", at positions 362 to 770 of the family's 1533-position model. The record is from RNAcentral.